GUCGGAGUGGCGGAAUUGGCAGACGCGCUAGACUAAGGAUCUAGUGCCCGUUAAGGGUGUGGGGGUUCAAGUCCCCCCUCCGACACGA
Molecule: transfer RNA, 88 nt
Filed under: Acidimicrobiaceae bacterium
Lineage: Bacteria; Bacillati; Actinomycetota; Acidimicrobiia; Acidimicrobiales; Acidimicrobiaceae
Also listed under: 1 other name
Description: tRNA-Leu
Rfam family: tRNA
About the family: Transfer RNA (tRNA) molecules are approximately 80 nucleotides in length. Their secondary structure includes four short double-helical elements and three loops (D, anti-codon, and T loops). Further hydrogen bonds mediate the characteristic L-shaped molecular structure. tRNAs have two regions of fundamental functional importance: the anti-codon, which is responsible for specific mRNA codon recognition, and the 3' end, to which the tRNAs corresponding amino acid is attached (by aminoacyl-tRNA synthetases). tRNAs cope with the degeneracy of the genetic code in two manners: having more than one tRNA (with a specific anti-codon) for a particular amino acid; and 'wobble' base-pairing, i.e. permitting non-standard base-pairing at the 3rd anti-codon position.
Source: RNAcentral